GGUUUUCAGAAAUUACCCAUGACUGUAAAACAAGACUUUCUUGUGUAUUUUCUUGCAAUUUAGUUUCAUUUAAUUUUGCAUCAGAGGCACUUCCAAAUUAAAACAUUUUGAAUGGAAUUUAAGCCUAUUUUCUUGGACCGCCAUUUUGUAGAUCAACCAGGCCUAUGAAUGUUUUGAGUCUCAGUCUAUAAUUAAUGUAUGUUAUAUGGUUGGAUUCAAACUCAAAGCAAAGUUAGACAAAACUUUCAUUUAAAAAAAAGACAUAUUAAUUUAUUUUACAAAUAGGCAGUUACAUUUACAGACAGAUUUCUGACUCAGCGAUUGCCUCCAUUUUUGUCACUCACCAGUUAUGAAGUAGAUCAAUCCUAUAUAUAGUCUUCCUUCUUCCUAUUCUGUUAUUUUCGUUAAAAGUUGACAAAGAUCAGUGACUAUGCAAAUUAUAGAUCACAAAUACCGAUCCUUCCACUCUCCAAAUUCCCACUUUCAACGUCUCGCGCGUUUUCAAGUUUGCGCCUUUUCAAAAAUGUACGGUAGAGCUAAGAAAUACGUUAGUUUCGAAUUUCCAAAAUUUCUGUUUUAAAAAAAUAACAAACACUAUCUGAAUAAUUUUUCACUGAAAAUAUAAUUUUUUUAUCAAAAUAAGUUUUAUCAAUGAAGAAUUCGAACUUUUUACGUCAUUAAUUAAAUUGGACAAAUAUUACAAUAGCAUCGGGAUCGAAGUCGGGCUCGAUGAACAAUUAAAUUCAAAAAUAUCGAAUGCCAUGUUCAUGUUGAUGUUCCACAGAAGGAAAGUUGGAACGAAUGCCACGAACGGGGGGAUCAUGGUCAGCUUGGGAUGGAAGAAGAUGAUUACAUUUUUAAGACCGUUGCUGCAUUGCCUGAGAUGAUUUUCACAGCCCUGGCCUUUGAUAAAAGUGCAUAUACAAUGUCAUGUAGAUGCUUAACCAAUCAGUCACUUGAGGCUUGUGAAUAUGGAAUCUGGAUGCUCACAAGAUUUAGAACACGAACUGUAUAAAAAAAAAUGAAAUUGCGCAAGGAAAGUUUGAAGUGUCUGUUGGAAUGAUCAACACCGAAUUUGCUGAGCCUUCGUACUAAAAGUGAAUCCGUUGGUGACGCCAAUUAUCUGUCAACCCUCUAUUGCAAAUUUCAUGGGAUAUCUGUGAGGAUGUGAUUCUAGCAACAUGUUAGAAGUUUUGUAUCUUCCAUAAUUGGGAUUUUUGGCACAUACUUUGGUGGAAAAUAGCAACUGUUCGUUUUAUGGGAUCUUUGUAUCAAUGUAGUUGUUUACUACAUAUAUUUUUGCAUUUAAUACAUGUGUUUGUCACUCUAGUCACUAACUUUGUACAGUAAAUGUACAUGGGCCACUGGCACUUUAUUGUAAAUGUAUAUCCUGUUGAGGUUUCAAUGACCUCUCCCAAUCCUUGGCCAAUGUCAUUUAAUGAAUCUAACCUCUUAUUUAAAAAAAAUGCAUACUUUAGUUUACUACAUACAUGUAUAUCAUAACUUGAUUAUCAUUAAUUUAACCAAGGUGAUCCCCCAGUAAUCUUAUUUUUUCUUGGAUAUUUCUGUUAAUAACCUUUGAUGUAAAAUACUUUGCAGUUUCAUUGAGAAUACAUACAUUUAAAAAAAAGUGCUUAUAUUGUACAUCUGAGUGGUAUAUGCUAUUAUAUUUGUCUCAAAAAACAUUGUAAAAGAAACUGAAUUUUUUAUUUUGCAACUUGUUUAAAGUUUGAUGCUAGAGAAAAUUCGGUCGAACAAAGUUGUGUGAUAAAAACGACAUUAUUUAAAGCACAUUAUGAUGAAUAUAAGUGUUUAAUUUAAAUUAUUAAGAAACAUAAAUAAUCAAUUUGAAAAAAAAAAUGCUGUCAUUGGUGAUGCAGUGUUUGUUUAAUUAAAAUCAAAUAAAAACACGAAAUGUUUAGAGAUUUCAUGAUUUAUUUUUUCAGAUAGUUGGUGAAAGAAUGUUAUUAUAUAUAAAUUAUGCCAGGGGCUUGUUCAACAAUUGCAUCUGCAUGCAAAAGUUGAAUUAUGAGAGUAAUGAGUGUUUUCUGUCAAUCAUUUUUGUCAAUUAUUUUAGUCUUCAUGAAAAUUCAUGAAUAUUCAUAAUACCUUGAACUCUACAUUUUUUCUGUCUUUAAAAUGAAAAUUACCAAUAUUCAUAUAAAUUCAUCAUUUGUUCAUGAACUACAUUUUAUGAAUAUAUUCAUGAAUAAAGUUCAUGAACCAUCUUUAUGAACCAGUCAUGAACCGUUCAUGAACACAUCAUGAAUGUUCAUGAACGAUUCAUAAAAGUUCCUGAAAUUAUGAAUUUCACCUCGCAGG
Saccostrea cuccullata (small rock oyster) is the source of this 2322-nucleotide long non-coding RNA. RefSeq lists it as uncharacterized. Lineage: Eukaryota; Metazoa; Mollusca; Bivalvia; Ostreida; Ostreidae. The transcript has 4 exons. The record is from RefSeq and is a predicted model, not a curated record.